GAAAUGCGAUACGUAGUGUGAAUUGCAGAAUUCCGCGAAUCAUCGAGUCUUUGAACGCAAGUUGCGCCCGAGGCUUGUCCGAGGGCAUUUCCGCUAGAGCGUCACC
RNAcentral lists this ribosomal RNA (106 nucleotides) under Calliergonella lindbergii. RNAcentral's name for it is "partial 5.8S ribosomal RNA". It matches the Rfam family "5.8S ribosomal RNA", at positions 50 to 154 of the family's 154-position model. Rfam says of the family: 5.8S ribosomal RNA (5.8S rRNA) is a component of the large subunit of the eukaryotic ribosome. The record is from RNAcentral. Lineage: Eukaryota; Viridiplantae; Streptophyta; Bryopsida; Hypnales; Pylaisiaceae.